CAGCCGUAAACUAUGCGCGUUAGGUGUAUCGGUGACCACGAGUUACCGAGGUGCCGAAGGGAAACCGUGAAACGUGCCGCCUGGGAAGUACGGUCGCAAGGCUGAAACUUAAAGGAAUCGGCGGGGGAGCACCACAACAGGUGGAGCCUGCGGUUUAAUUGGACUCAACGCCGGGAAGCUCACCGGAUAGGACAGCAGAAUGAUUGCCGGGCUGAAGACCCUGCAUGACUAGCUGAGAGGAGGUGCAUGGCGUCAGUGACU
Molecule: ribosomal RNA, 261 nt
Filed under: uncultured archaeon
Lineage: Archaea
Description: partial 16S ribosomal RNA
Rfam family: Archaeal small subunit ribosomal RNA
Source: RNAcentral